UGGGGAAUCUUCCGCAAUGGACGAAAGUCUGACGGAGCAACGCCGCGUGAACGAAGAAGGUCUUCGGAUUGUAAAGUUCUGUGAUUCGGGACGAAAGGGUUUGUGGUGAAUAAUCAUAGACAUUGACGGUACCGAAAAAGCAAGCCACGGCUAACUACGUGCCAGCAGCCGCGGUAAUACGUAGGUGGCAAGCGUUGUCCGGAAUUAUUGGGCGUAAAGCGCGCGCAGGCGGUUUCUUAAGUCCAUCUUAAAAGCGUGGGGCUCAACCCCAUGAGGGGAUGGAAACUGGGAAGCUGGAGUAUCGGAGAGGAAAGUGGAAUUCCUAGUGUAGCGGUGAAAUGCGUAGAGAUUAGGAAGAACACCGGUGGCGAAGGCGACUUCCUAGACGAAAACUGACGCUGAGGCGCGAAAGCGUGGGGAGCAAACAGGAUUAGAUACCCUGGUAGUCCACGCCGUAAACGAUGGAUACUAGGUGUAGGAGGUAUCGACCCCUCCUGUGCCGGAGUUAACGCAAUAAGUAUCCCGCCUGGGAAGUACGAUCGCAAGAUUA
This 550-nucleotide ribosomal RNA is filed under the name uncultured bacterium. RNAcentral describes it as "bacterial SSU rRNA". It matches the Rfam family "Bacterial small subunit ribosomal RNA", at positions 355 to 896 of the family's 1533-position model. The record is from RNAcentral.